RNAcentral lists this ribosomal RNA (352 nucleotides) under uncultured bacterium. Its description in RNAcentral is "bacterial SSU rRNA". It matches the Rfam family "Bacterial small subunit ribosomal RNA", at positions 8 to 349 of the family's 1533-position model. The record is from RNAcentral.
AGAGUUUGAUCCUGGCUCAGGAUGAACGCUAGCUACAGGCUUAACACAUGCAAGUCGAGGGGAAACGAUAUUGGAAGCUUGCUUCCGAUAGGCGUCGACCGGCGCACGGGUGAGUAACGCGUAUCCAACCUGCCCACCACUUGGGGAUAACCUUGCGAAAGUAAGACUAAUACCCAAUGACGUCUCUAGAAGACAUCUGAAAAGAGAUUAAAAGAUUUAUCGGUGAUGGAUGGGGAUGCGUCUGAUUAGCUUGUUGGCGGGGUAACGGCCACCAAGGCUACGAUCAGUAGGGGUUCUGAGAGGAAGGUCCCCCANAUUGGAACUGAGACACGGUCCAAACUCUACGGGAGCA